This 65-nucleotide microRNA precursor is filed under the name Danio rerio (zebrafish). RNAcentral's name for it is "Dre-Mir-30-P1o1_pre stem-loop". It matches the Rfam family "mir-30 microRNA precursor family", at positions 1 to 60 of the family's 77-position model. Rfam says of the family: This family consists of the mammalian microRNA (miRNA) precursor mir-30a. Animal miRNAs are transcribed as ~70nt precursors and subsequently processed by the Dicer enzyme to give a ~22nt product. The record is from RNAcentral. Lineage: Eukaryota; Metazoa; Chordata; Actinopteri; Cypriniformes; Danionidae.
UGUAAACAUUCCCGACUGGAAGUUGUAAUGCAGAAAAUCUCAGCUUUCAGUCUGAUGUUUGCUGC